This 473-nucleotide long non-coding RNA is filed under the name Pan troglodytes (chimpanzee). Its description in RNAcentral is "lincRNA". Lineage: Eukaryota; Metazoa; Chordata; Mammalia; Primates; Hominidae. The record is from RNAcentral.
AACCUUUGCUGUCUUGGAACAGAUCACCACUGCAAGAGGGGAAGUUGCUACUGUGAUGAAUUCUGCCAUGUGGUACCAGACUGCUACCCAGACCACAGUGUCCUCUGCAACCCUCGUAACUCACAUACAGGCCUGAUUCCACCUACAGCAAAGCUGGAUGCUAUGGUUGGCAGAGGCAAACCCUUUGCCUGCACUUCAGGCCAAAGCCGGGAUGUGGCCUAGAUGGUUCCUAAGGUCCCUGACAAUCCUGAGAUCUUGCAUCUUGUCUAUUUCAGGUCAAAGCUUCUCAGAUGACCAAGAUGGUGCUGCAGAUGGUGCUGAGGAUGGAGAACCCACCAAGCCCCGCUAGGAGCCACCUAGACUGGAUGUAGAGCAUGGACAAUUUGCUGAGGUCUGGGAGCACCCCCUCCAGAGAGUCCCUGAUCUCUCAAAACUUGGUCGUGAUCUAAAGUUUAUUUGAUGUACAACUCCCC